GACGAGCGCUGGCGGCGUGCUUAACACAUGCCAGUCGAACGGUGAAGCGCCUUCCUUUUUGGUGGGUGUGGAUGAGUGGCGAACGGGUGAGUAACACGUGAGUAACCUGCCCCCUUCUUCUGGAUAACCGCAUGAAAGUGUGGCUAAUACGGGAUAUUCUGGGUCUGUCGCAUGAUGGGUCUGGGAAAGAUAUUGUUUCGGUGGGGGAUGGGCUCGCGGCCUAUCAGCUUGUUGGUGGGGUGAUGGCCUACCAAGGCGGUGACGGGUAGCCGGCCUGAGAGGGUGGACGGUCACACUGGGACUGAGACACGGCCCAGACUCCUACGGGAGGCAGCAGUGGGGAAUAUUGCACAAUGGGCGCAAGCCUGAUGCAGCGACGCCGCGUGAGGGAUGGAGGCCUUCGGGUUGUGAACCUCUUUCGCCAGUGAAGCAGGCCUGCCUCGUUUGUGGGUGGGUUGACGGUAGCUGGAUAAGAAGCGCCGGCUAACUACGUG
RNAcentral lists this ribosomal RNA (494 nucleotides) under uncultured bacterium. RNAcentral's name for it is "partial 16S ribosomal RNA". It matches the Rfam family "Bacterial small subunit ribosomal RNA", at positions 28 to 507 of the family's 1533-position model. The record is from RNAcentral.